RNAcentral lists this ribosomal RNA (1424 nucleotides) under uncultured Phenylobacterium sp. RNAcentral describes it as "bacterial SSU rRNA". It matches the Rfam family "Bacterial small subunit ribosomal RNA". Lineage: Bacteria; Pseudomonadati; Pseudomonadota; Alphaproteobacteria; Caulobacterales; Caulobacteraceae. The record is from RNAcentral.
AGGGUUUGAUCAUGGCUCCACGAACGCUGGCGGCAGGCCUAAUACAUGCAAGUCGAGCGCCCUUUCGGGGGAGCGGCGGACGGGUGAGUAACGCGUGGGAACGUGCCCUUUGCUACGGAACAACUGAGGGAAACUUCAGCUACCGUAUGUGCCCUUCGGGGGAAAGAUUUAUCGGCAUUGGAGCGGCCCGCGUUGGAUUAGGUAGUUGGUGAGGUAAAGGCUCACCAAGCCUACGAUCCAUAGCUGGUCUGAGAGGAUGAUCAGCCACACUGGGACUGAGACACGGCCCAGACUCCUACGGGAGGCAGCAGUAGGGAAUCUUGCGCAAUGGGCGAAAGCCUGACGCAGCCAUGCCGCGUGAAUGAUGAAGGUCUUAGGAUUGUAAAAUUCUUUCACCGGGGAAGAUAAUGACGGUACCCGGAGAGAAGUACCGGCUAACUUCGUGCCAGCAGCCGCGGUAAUACGAAGGACGCUAGCGUUGCUCGGAAUUACUGGGCGUAAACGGCGCGUAGGCGGAUAUUGUAGUUAGAGGUGAAAGCCCAGGGCUCAACCCUGGAAUAGCCUUUAAUACUGGAUAUCUUGAGUUCGGGAGAGGUGAGUGGAACUCCGAGUGGCGAGGUGAAAUUCGUAGAUAUUCGGAAGAUUACCAGUGGCGAAGUAGACUCACUGGCCCGAUACUGACGCUGAGGCGCGAAAGCGUGGGCUCACAGGAUUAGAUACCCUGGUAGUCCACGCUGUAAACGAUGAGUGCUAGUUGUCGGCAUGCAUGUGUGUCGGUGACGCAGCUAACGCAUUAAGUACUCCGCCUGGGGAGUACGGUCGCAAGAUUAAAACUCAAAGGAAUUGACGGACGCCCGCACAAGCGGUGGAGCAUGUGGUAAUUCGAAGCAACGCGCAGAGUCUUACCACCUUUUGACAUGCCCAGACCGCCAGAGAGAUCUGGUCCCCCUUCGGCGACUGGGACACAGGUGCUGCAUGGCUGUCGUCAGCUCGUGUCGUGUCUUUGGGUUAAGUCCCGCACGAGCGCAACCCACGCCAUUAGUUGCCAUCAUUUAGUUGGGCACUCUAAUGGGACCGUGGUAAGCCGGAGGAAGGUGUGGAUGACGUCAAGUCCUCAUGGCCCUUACGGGGUGGGCUACACACGUGCUACAAUGGCGACUACAGAGGGUUGCAACCCAGCGAUGGUGAGCUAAUCCCCAAAAGUCGUCUCAGUUCGGAUUGCACUCUGCAACUCGAGUGCAUGAAGUCGGAAUCGCUAGUAAUCGCGGAUCAGCAUGCGGUGAAUACGUUCCCGGGCCUUGUACACACCGCCCGUCACACCAUGGGAGUUGGCUUUACCCGAAGGCGGUGCGCUAACCAGCAAUGGAGCUAGCCGACCACGGUAGGGUCAGCGACUGGGGUGAAGUCAUAACAAGGUAACCGUA